Molecule: ribosomal RNA, 468 nt
Filed under: uncultured bacterium
Lineage: Bacteria
Description: partial 16S ribosomal RNA
Rfam family: Bacterial small subunit ribosomal RNA
Source: RNAcentral
GACGAACGCUGGCGGCGUGCUUAACACAUGCAAGUCGAACGGAAAGGCCCUGCUUUUGUGGGGUGCUCGUGUGGCGCACGGGUGUGUAACACGUGUGUAACCCCCCCUUGUCUUUGGUAUAACUUCAGGAAACUUGGGCUAAUACCGGAUAGGAUCUCCUUCUCCAUGUUGGUGGUUGGAAAGUUUCGGCUGUUGGGGCUGGACUCGCGGCUUUUCGGCUUUUUGGUGGGGUAGUUGCUUACCAAGGCUUUGACGGAUAGGCGGCCUGGGCGGGUUACCGGCGACAUGGGGACUGAGAGACGGCGCAGACGAGUACGGGAGGCAACAGUGGAGAGUAUGACAGAAUGAGGGGGAGCCGGAGACAGAGGCGCCGCGUGCGGGAGGACGGACUUCGGGUUGAAAACCGCUGUCGCCGGAAACGAGGCGGGAGUGACGGUAAUGGGUAAAGAAGCACCGGCUAACUACGUG